This is a long non-coding RNA of Cyprinus carpio (common carp), 1359 nucleotides long. NCBI's taxonomy places the organism in Eukaryota, Metazoa, Chordata, Actinopteri, Cypriniformes, Cyprinidae. The record is from Ensembl.
AAAAUGCAGAAAAAUCCAUGUUUCUGGAGCUGUGGCGCGUGAGGGAGCUUCGCUGAUCAAAGGAGAACAGAGGAGCAGCACGUUUGGAUGAUUAUGAGACUUUAUGUACUGCAGAUAAUGAAUUAAACCCCCUCUAAUCAUCAUAUAUUUUAAAUGUAACAAACCAGAGGAAGAGGACAGCAGCUUUGCUGUAUCAGUCGUAGUAAACACAGGAACAUCCUUCAUGAACGUGUGCCAGAGAAGCUUGCAAGGCAAGAUGAGGGAAAAAAUUAAAGCCCAGUGUCAGUGAAGAUGGUGUGAUCAGGAAAUCUGGUAUUUAUGGCUGAAGGAACAUCUACCAGUAAUCUACUACGACAUUGCCCUGAUGUUGAGGAAUUUUUUUUUUCUUUGGAACAUUUCCGUUCACAGAGACUGUGGAGAGAUUGGAGAGUUUACUGCCGAUGGAGAGCUUCUGGGACACUGACAAACAGCACUUCCCAACAAGUUAAUUUGGAGUUCUUUUUUAUUAUUUAUUUAGUCAAACUUGCAUUCACUAAUGCUGGAGUAAGAUUUUAGAAGAAAACUUUCGGUCCUGUUUAAUGUUGGUGCUAGUAAAGGUUUGAGAAUUUAUGGCCUGGUUUCACAGACAGGGCUUAGACUAAGCCAGGAUCAUAGUUCAAUAAGGACAUUUAAGUCAGUUUCAUUAACAUGCCUUAGAAAAAAACAUUACUGGUGUGCAUCUUGAGAUAAAACAAAGGCACAGAUAUUUUUAAAGAUCAGUCUGUGCAAGUUUCUUUCAGUUGAAACAGCUCAGAAUUAUAUUUAAUUCAAUUCAAAUGAGCUUCAUUGGCAUGACUUGCACAGUAUUGCCAAAGCAUAAUUAUAGAAUUACAUUUUAGUCCGGGGCUGGUCUUAAGCCUUGUCUGUGAAACCCGGGCUACCAUUAACACACUUUGGCAAUGUUUUACAAUAAGGUCUCAUUUGCUCUACAUGGAAUGAUAAUUUUCUUGAUUUUUUUUUUAUUUUAUUUUAUUUGUAUUAAGUUUGUGUGUUAGUAAUCCUAUACGUUAUCGGGGCCAAAUGACUCCACAAGGAUAGUAAUACCAGUAAAUUGUAUUGACUUUGUGGACAUUGAGGAAACAGGCUUAUAGAUCAUACAGAAUUAUGUUUUCUGUGAUGGUGAGAUUAGGUACUUUGGUAUGCAAGUAUGUAAGUGAUUUUGCAUUGUUCUCCAGACUCUUUCUAAUAAGUGAGUUAAAGUGUUGCAACUGUGUAUAGUGUUGGAUUUUUCUUGUGCAUCAGCAAAAAGCCUUUUUGUGUAUUUGUUUUAUUGAUUGUUUUGUCAAUAAAUGUAGAGGGUUUUCAAUUUUGUGUUUGUGU